Myotis brandtii (Brandt's bat) is the source of this 146-nucleotide non-coding RNA. NCBI's taxonomy places the organism in Eukaryota, Metazoa, Chordata, Mammalia, Chiroptera, Vespertilionidae. The record is from Rfam.
GUACUUACCUGGCAGGGGAGAUAUCAUGAUCGCGAAGGUUGUUUUCCAGGGAGAGGUUUACUUAUUGCAUUCCAGAUAUGCUGACCCCUGCGAUUUCCCCAAAUAUGGGAAACUGGACUACAUAAUUAGACUGCAUUCAAGCUCUC